Molecule: ribosomal RNA, 468 nt
Filed under: uncultured bacterium
Lineage: Bacteria
Description: partial 16S ribosomal RNA
Rfam family: Bacterial small subunit ribosomal RNA
Source: RNAcentral
GACGAACGCUGGCGGCGUGCUUAACACAUGCAAGUCGAACGGAAAGGCCCUGCUUUUGUGCGGUUCCCGAUGGGCGAACGGGUGAGUAACACGUGAGUAACCUGCCCUUGACUUUGGGAUAACUUCAGGUAACUGGGGCUAAUCUCAGAUAGCAGCUCAUGCUGCAUGGUGGGCGUUGGAAAGUUUCGGCGGUUGGGGAUGGACUCGCGGCUGAUCAGCUUGUUGGUUGGGUAGUGGCUUACCAAGGGUUAGACGGGUAGCCGGCCCGGGAGGGUGGCCGGGCACAAUGGGCCUACGAGAGGGCCCAGAGUCGAACGGUAGGCAACAGUGGGAAACAUGACACAGUGGUCGGGAGCCUGAUGCGGCAACGCCGCGUGCGUAAAGCCGGUCUUCUGGUUAAAAACCGCUUUCGCCUGUUACGAAGCGUGAGUGACGGUAAUGAGUAAAGAAGCACCGGCUAACUACGUG